Molecule: ribosomal RNA, 235 nt
Filed under: uncultured bacterium
Lineage: Bacteria
Description: partial 16S ribosomal RNA
Rfam family: Bacterial small subunit ribosomal RNA
Source: RNAcentral
GAUCCUGGCUCAGGAUGAACGCUAGCCACAGGCUUAACACAUGCAAGUCGAGGGGCAGCAUUUUAGUUUGCUUGCAAACUAAAGAUGGCGACCGGCGCACGGGUGAGUAACACGUAUCCAACCUGCCGAUAACUCAGGGAUAGCCUUUCGAAAGAAAGAUUAAUACCUGAUGGCAUAGGAUUAUCGCAUGAUGAUCCUAUUAAAGAAUUUCGGUUAUCGAUGGGGAUGCGUUCCA